Bombyx mori (domestic silkworm) is the source of this 1315-nucleotide long non-coding RNA. RefSeq lists it as uncharacterized. The record is from RefSeq and is a predicted model, not a curated record. Lineage: Eukaryota; Metazoa; Arthropoda; Insecta; Lepidoptera; Bombycidae. The transcript is spliced from 2 exons.
CUUUUUCAUAUAUAGUGCGAGCAAGAUAAGUCUGCGCGCGGCCAAAAUCGGAACUAAUCGUGUGUCGCUAUUUUUGUGCUCCGUGUUUUUAUUAAUUUUCUAAGUAAAUAACAGCUGGCAUUAUACCGAAAGUGAUUAAAAGUGCUGGCAGGGAUAUUGUUUUGCAGCUUAAAUGUGCUUGUGAAGAAGAACGAGACAAUAACGUGCCUAUGUCACCUUGUAGGGCAUUUUCGAAUGGACCAUUACCGAAAUCACUCGAGAAACUAAUGUAGCAGCUUCAUCUUCAAGAAUUGUGACGCCAGAAAAACAAGAAACAGGAAGACAAAGAUUGGUGAAUUAGAUGAUUUUGAUAAAUGCAUUAAAAGACGUAAAAUACAUUUGUUUUAUAUCGUGAGGAGGGUAAUCCCUACAAUGAACAAAUUUUGGUUGGAAUUAAAAGCUGAUAUUGAUCUUAAAUAUGGCAGAACAUCUUUAAGAAGCAUCCUAAAGACUAUGAGCUACAGUUUUAACAAGUGUCAAGUCUAGUGUGACUUCUGAUGAAAAUAUCCGAAUCAAAGGCAUUGACUUACUGCAUGUUUUUUUCCUACCUAAGCUGGUUGCCUGGAGCGGCUAUUCCAGCGUAACCGUAACUAGUAGGUGAGCUCACGGGGCUCAAACCUGACGACGAUGCUAACACGAACCCUAGCAAGAGCCGUGCUUCGCAGAAUCUACCACCGGAUCGGAAACGCGACCCAAUGAGAAGAUCCGGCGAGAAACUCAGUGGGCUGUGUCUGAGAGUUAACUUACUCGUCGAGCCCUUCGUCGCAAGCGACAGGUUCGACGAAAACGGUGACCGGUGCUUGAAGUACCUAGAAGCACCGUUAGUGGAUCGGGAGGAUCCAAGAUGACGUGUUUUGGGCGACGUCGACUGCUUUCCAUUCUGUCCGCACGAUCGGGAAUGUAGUUACCGGCGGCCACGAUGAGAGGGUUUUCGUGUCGUGCCGCUUUAUCGAAGUGGCGCAUCGACGCUGACUGCAUAUCGAGUGGUGGACUCUAAGUCCAGGUCGUCAUGGAGGUCGACGUUCCUGACGAACCACGGGGCUCCGACGGCUAUCCUGCAAAAAACGGGAUUGAAUAACUUGGAAGAAUUUUAAGCGAGUGCGGGCCGCGUGAGCGAACACUGUCAUGACGGGACGUAUGCAAGUUUUGUAGAGUGUCACCUUAUUUCUAAGGGACAUUUUAUUUCGCCUGCAUAUCAUCGGGUAGUUACUGCAUGAGCAUUCAAAUGUCAACUUUAAAAAUAUUGCAGGCUAUUAAAUAAACGACUCACAAGGUU